GACGAACGCUGGCGGCGUGCUUAACACAUGCAAGUCGAACGGUGAAGCGCCUUCCUUUUUGGUGGGUGUGGAUGAGUGGCGAACGGGUGAGUAACACGUGAGUAACCUGCCCCCUUCUUCUGGAUAACCGCAUGAAAGUGUGGCUAAUACGGGAUAUUCUGGGUCUGUCGCAUGAUGGGUCUGGGAAAGAUAUUGUUUCGGUGGGGGAUGGGCUCGCGGCCUAUCAGCUUGUUGGUGGGGUGAUGGCCUACCAAGGUGGUGACGGGUAGCCGGCCUGAGAGGGUGGACGGUCACACUGGGACUGAGACACGGCCCAGACUCCUACGGGAGGCAGCAGUGGGGAAUAUUGCACAAUGGGCGCAAGCCUGAUGCAGCGACGCCGCGUGAGGGAUGGAGGCCUUCGGGUUGCGAACCUCUUUCGCCAGUGAAGCAGGCCUGCCUCGUUUGUGGGUGGGUUGACGGUAGCUGGAUAAGAAGCGCCGGCUAACUACGUG
Molecule: ribosomal RNA, 494 nt
Filed under: uncultured bacterium
Lineage: Bacteria
Description: partial 16S ribosomal RNA
Rfam family: Bacterial small subunit ribosomal RNA
Source: RNAcentral